This 489-nucleotide ribosomal RNA is filed under the name uncultured bacterium. RNAcentral describes it as "partial 16S ribosomal RNA". It matches the Rfam family "Bacterial small subunit ribosomal RNA", at positions 29 to 504 of the family's 1533-position model. The record is from RNAcentral.
AGUGAACGCUGGCGGUAGGCCUAACACAUGCAAGUCGAACGGCAGCACAGUAAGAGCUUGCUCUUACGGGUGGCGAGUGGCGGACGGGUGAGGAAUACAUCGGAAUCUACUUUUUCGUGGGGGAUAACGUAGGGAAACUUACGCUAAUACCGCAUACGACCUACGGGUGAAAGCAGGGGAUCUUCGGACCUUGCGCGAUUGAAUGAGCCGAUGUCGGAUUAGCUAGUUGGCGGGGUAAAGGCCCACCAAGGCGACGAUCCGUAGCUGGUCUGAGAGGAUGAUCAGCCACACUGGAACUGAGACACGGUCAAGACUCCUACGGGAGGCAGCAGUGGGGAAUAUUGGACAAUGGGCGCAAGCCUGAUCCAGCCAUACCGCGUGGGUGAAGAAGGCCUUCGGGUUGUAAAGCCCUUUUGUUGGGAAAGAAAAGCAGCAGGUUAAUACCCCGCUGUUCUGACGGUACCCAAAGAAUAAGCCCCGGCUAACUUC